GUCGAACGAUGACGGAGGAGCUUGCUCCUCCUGAUUAGUGGCGAACGGGUGAGUAAUACGUGAGCAAUGUGCCCUUGACUCUGGGAUAAGCGCUGGAAACGGCGUCUAAUACCGGAUACGACGAUCGGAGGCAUCUCCUGGUCGUGGAAAGAACUUCGGUCAAGGAUCAGCUCACGGCCUAUCAGUUAGUUGGUGAGGUAAUGGCUCACCAAGACGACGACGGGUAGCCGGCCUGAGAGGGUGACCGGCCACACUGGGACUGAGACACGGCCCAGACUCCUACGGGAGGCAGCAGUGGGGAAUAUUGCACAAUGGGCGCAAGCCUGAUGCAGCAACGCCGCGUGAGGGACGAAGGCCUUCGGGUUGUAAACCUCUUUUAGCAGGGAAGAAGCGAAAGUGACGGUACCUGCAGAAAAAGCACCGGCUAACUACGUGCCAGCAGCCGCGGUAAUACGUAGGGUGCAAGCGUUGUCCGGAAUUAUUGGGCGUAAAGAGCUCGUAGGCGGUUUGUCACGUCUGCUGUGAAAACCCGAGGCUCAACCUCGGGCUUGCAGUGGGUACGGGCAGACUAGAGUGCGGUAGGGGAGAUUGGAAUUCCUGGUGUAGCG
This 608-nucleotide ribosomal RNA is filed under the name bacterium 40-L049658-122-015-H05. RNAcentral's name for it is "bacterial SSU rRNA". It matches the Rfam family "Bacterial small subunit ribosomal RNA", at positions 61 to 680 of the family's 1533-position model. The record is from RNAcentral.